This 388-nucleotide ribosomal RNA is filed under the name uncultured bacterium. RNAcentral's name for it is "bacterial SSU rRNA". It matches the Rfam family "Bacterial small subunit ribosomal RNA", at positions 30 to 419 of the family's 1533-position model. The record is from RNAcentral.
AUUGAACGCUGGCGGCAUGCCUUACACAUGCAAGUCGAACGGCAGCACGGGAGCAAUCCUGGUGGCGAGUGGCGAACGGGUGAGUAAUAUAUCGGAACGUGCCCAGUCGUGGGGAUAACGUAGCGAAAGCUACGCUAAUACCGCAUACGAUCUAUGGAUGAAAGCGGGGGAUCGCAAGACCUCGCGCGAUUGGAGCGGCCGAUAUCAGAUUAGGUAGUUGGUGAGGUAAAGGCUCACCAAGCCGACGAUCUGUAGCUGGUCUAAGAGGACGACCAGCCACACUGGGACUGAGACACGGCCCAGACUCCUACGGGAGGCAGCAGUGGGGAAUUUUGGACAAUGGGCGCAAGCCUGAUCCAGCAAUGCCGCGUGCAGGAUGAAGGCCUUC